CCCUCGGGAAACUGAGGUUAAUAUCUGAUAGGAGAUUUAUACUGGAAAGAUUAAUCUUUAAAAUUCGAGCCUAAGGAUGGGGCUGCGGUGGAUUAGGUUGUUGGCGGGGUAAUAGCCCACCAAGCCUUUGAUCCAUAGGGGCUCUUAGCGGAGAAGCCCCGAGAGGGAAUCUGAGACACUAUUCCCAGCCCUACGGGGUGCAGCAGUUAGGAAUAUUCUGCAAUGCGCGUAAGCGUGACAGAUUGAGUCAGAGUGCGCUUCAAUUUGGAGUGCUUUUGCUAAAUGUAAAAAGUUUGGCGAAUAAGGACUGGGUAAGACGAGUGCCAGCCGCCGCGGUAAUACUCGCGGUCCAAGUCGCAGCCAUUUUUAUUGGGUCUAAAACAUCCGUAGCUUGCUUGGUGAGUUCCUUGUGAAAUUCUAUAUCUCAAAUAUGGAGCGUGCAGGGAGUACUGCCAAGCUAGAGACUGGAAGACGUAACGAGUACGUUUGGAGUAGCGGUAAAAUGUGUUAAUCCCGGACGGACUAACAAUAGCGAAGGCACGUUACGAGGACAGUUCUGACAGUAAGGGAUGAAGGCUAGGGGCGCAAAACGGAUUAGAUACCCGUGUAGUCCUAGCAGUAAACACUGCACACUAAACAUUAGUACCUCCUCGAGAGGUAUUGGUGCUGAAGGGAAGCCGAAGAGUGUGCUACCUGGGAAGUAUAGUCGCAAGGCCGAAACUUAAAGGAAU
This 731-nucleotide ribosomal RNA is filed under the name uncultured euryarchaeote. RNAcentral describes it as "bacterial SSU rRNA". It matches the Rfam family "Archaeal small subunit ribosomal RNA", at positions 129 to 865 of the family's 1478-position model. The record is from RNAcentral. Lineage: Archaea; Methanobacteriati; Methanobacteriota.